This 468-nucleotide ribosomal RNA is filed under the name uncultured bacterium. Its description in RNAcentral is "partial 16S ribosomal RNA". It matches the Rfam family "Bacterial small subunit ribosomal RNA", at positions 28 to 507 of the family's 1533-position model. The record is from RNAcentral.
GACGAACGCUGGCGGCGUGCUUAACACAUGCAAGUCGAACGGAAAGGCCCUGCUUUUGUGGGGUGCUCGAGUGGCGAACGGGUGAGUAACACGUGAGUAACCUGCCCUUGACUUUGGGAUAACUUCAGGAAACUGGGGCUAAUACCGGAUAGGAGCUCCUGCUGCAUGGUGGGGGUUGGAAAGUUUCGGCGGUUGGGGAUGGAAUCGCGGCUUAUCAGCUUGUUGGUGGGGUAGUGGCUUACCACGGCUUUGGCGGGUCGCCGGCCUGAGGGGGUGAGCGGACACAGGGAGUCGGAGAUAGGGCCCAGACCCCUACGGGGGAGAAGAGGGGGGAAUUGUGCAAUAGGGGCGGGACCCAGGUGCAGCAACCCCGCGGGGGGUGAGACGGCCCGCGGGGUGUAAACCGCUUGCGCCUGUGACGAAGCGUGAGUGACGGUAAUGGGUAAAGAAGCACCGGCUAACUACGUG